AGACGAUGACGUUGAUAGGUCGGGUGUGUAAGCGUAGCGAUACGUUGAGCUAACCGAUACUAAUGAACCGUGAGGCUUAACCUUACAACGCCGAAGGUGUUU
This 102-nucleotide ribosomal RNA is filed under the name Klebsiella aerogenes. RNAcentral's name for it is "partial 23S ribosomal RNA". The stretch from base 1 to 84 matches the Rfam family "Bacterial large subunit ribosomal RNA", at positions 2842 to 2925 of the family's 2925-position model. The record is from RNAcentral. Lineage: Bacteria; Pseudomonadati; Pseudomonadota; Gammaproteobacteria; Enterobacterales; Enterobacteriaceae.